Molecule: RNA transcript, 4110 nt
Organism: Bactrocera latifrons
Lineage: Eukaryota; Metazoa; Arthropoda; Insecta; Diptera; Tephritidae
Gene: ari-1
Gene name: protein ariadne-1
Exons: 9
Source: RefSeq, a predicted model, not a curated record
CGUGUGUAUGUUUGACUAACAUUUUCAUUUCGUUGCUGCGUUUUAAACUGAUUGCAGUAAUAAAGUGUGAAAAUUUAGUAAAAUAAUAAAUUCGUUUAAGAAAAUUAAUUGUGGAAAGGAUAAAAGACUUAAAUUUUUGCUUAUAAAGGGAGCGAUUUACAGAGAAGUCGUGUGCAUAGAAAGUUUUCUUAACUAUAACAUAGUAAAGAAGUAUUCCAAUUGUGGGUCGCAGCAAGGAAGUAAAGCAAACGCCAAAAAACUUGGAAAAGUCGCUCGACAACUGCAAUUAACUUGACCGUAAAAUAAAGUAAUCAUAGUAAAAGUGACAUCCGCGCUGCAACUUUGUGGCUAGUGUGCUUGUCUCAAUCGUUGUCAAAGCUAUAAACACGAGACAAAGUCGAUUAGCUACCGACAUUGUUUUCAAUUCUCCUGCCCCUUUGGGUUAAAAGGCCGCGACAGUGUGCCACUGAACGCCACAUACCAAAAUAUAAAGCAGCGGGGUGAUUUGGGGCGGUAGGCAAAGCACGGAGCACUUAUUAAAAGUUGUAUGCUGCUGGAACCAACGAAGGUGCUAAAAGUGACGUAUAUAUACGCCAUUAACAUAUUGGUUUCUACAAACAGUUGAAGGGCAGUGCAGAUGUGGAAUAAGUAAACUUUGAUUAGUCACCAAGUAACCCGCUGAAAUAUACAAAUAAGCGUAUAUUCUGUGUAUAUGAGUUGCAUUGGAAAACUUGAUUAUUUGAACAACAAGUAUUAACUCUUGUUUGCAGCUACAUAAAUCAAACGCAACAGACAAUUUGUCGUUAGCCGUGCACUUAAAACUUCCAAUUGUUUAUUAAGACAACCAAACUGUGCCUAAUUCCUGCUGAAACAUCAGUAACAAAAGAAAAUCCAAAAAUAAUAAAUAACUCGGCAUAACAAGAAAACAGCUAAAAAUAUAAUAUGGAGUCUGAUGAGGAUUCUUAUGAGAUGGAGAAUGUUGAUUCUGGCAAUGUAUCGUCAGGCGACGAGGGCGAUGAAGAUUUCGGUAUGGAGGUCGAUAUACCCUCUUCACAUGAUCGCCAAAUGGAAACAGAGGAGUAUCAAUAUGAAGUGCUCUCUACAGAUGAAAUAGUACAGCAUCAGCGAGAAAUAAUCGAUGAAGUCAACAAUGUGCUCAAGCUGCCGCCCACAAUAAUCCGCAUACUGCUAAAUCAUUACAAAUGGGAUAAAGAAAAGCUACUAGAAAAAUAUUUUGAUGGUAAUACAGAGGAAUUCUUCAAGGGCGCACAUGUCAUUAAUCCAUUCAACAAAUCUACCACUCCAAGUCGACUUAAGUUGUCCAAAAAUCCAGUGGAGGAAUGCGAAAUUUGUUUCUCAUUGCUGUCACCAGAUGGCAUGACUGGUCUGGAGUGUGGCCAUCGCUUUUGCUUGGUCUGCUGGCGUGAGUAUUUAACGACAAAGAUCGUCACCGAAGGUCUCGGUCAAUCCAUCUCGUGCGCCGCACAUGGCUGUGAUAUUUUAGUUGAUGACGUUACCGUCACUAAACUAGUGGAUCCGCGUGUCAAAGUGAAAUACCAACAGCUGAUCACAAACAGUUUUGUCGAAUGCAAUCAGCUAUUACGCUGGUGUCCGUCCGUCGACUGUACGAAUGCAAUUAAAGUUUCGUAUGGUGAUGCACGCCCCGUGAGUUGCAAAUGCGGGCAUGUCUUUUGCUUUGCCUGCGGCGAAAAUUGGCAUGAUCCCGUCAAAUGUUGUUGGCUGAAAAAAUGGAUCAAGAAAUGCGACGACGAUUCGGAGACAUCCAAUUGGAUAGCGGCUAACACAAAAGAGUGUCCAAAAUGUAAUGUGACGAUCGAAAAAGAUGGCGGCUGCAAUCAUAUGGUGUGUAAAAAUCAAAAUUGUAAACACGAUUUCUGUUGGGUGUGUUUAGGUUCAUGGGAGCCGCACGGCUCGUCGUGGUAUAACUGCAAUCGCUACGAUGAGGACGAGGCGAAGGCGGCGCGUGAUGCACAAGAGAAAUUGCGCUCCUCAUUGGCAAGGUACUUGCAUUACUAUAAUCGUUAUAUGAAUCACAUGCAGUCGCUGAAAUUUGAGAACAAACUCUAUGCGGCCGUUAAACACAAAAUGGAGGAGAUGCAGCAGCACAAUAUGUCCUGGAUUGAAGUGCAAUUUUUGAAAAAGGCCGUAGAUAUACUCUGCCAGUGCCGUCAAACACUCAUGUACACAUACGUGUUUGCCUAUUAUCUGAAGAAGAACAAUCAGUCAAUGAUCUUUGAGGAUAAUCAAAAGGAUUUGGAAUCAGCAACUGAGAAACUGUCUGAGUACCUGGAGCGUGAUAUAACUUCAGAGAAUUUGGCUGAUAUUAAACAAAAAGUUCAGGAUAAAUACAGGUAUUGCGAGAAGCGUCGCAAGGUGCUGCUGGAUCAUGUUCAUGAAGGCUACGAGAAGGACUGGUGGGAGUAUACAGAAUGACGCGAAUCCUGGAUGGAUGAUUAAAAAGCACCAACAAAAACAUAAUUUUUCAUUGAAUAAACAAUAGAGCAGAGCAGAGCCGAGCAGAGAACGGACGGAAGCAGCAGUUUGAGAUAUAAUGAUGUCACUAGUGUUUAUCGAAUGAAAAUGCAUGGUAAAACCCUAAAAAAAAAAAACGAAACUGAAAACAAGAAAAGCGCCGCAACUCCCAUAGUGCAGUAGCAAGCGUGUGUCAAUAAAUGGGGGCCGGAGUGGUGGAUGAAACGCGAACUUUGUUAGCCAAUGCUACAUAAAUAUAUAUAUGUGUGUGUGUUUGACGAUUAUAUGUGUGUGUAGCACAUAGCGGCCACGAAGCGAAAAUUAACAAAACACCAACAAUGCGACAGGCGAAUAAUGGAAAUAAUACUGCUUAACAAGACUUAAGUUGCAAAUUUAUUAUGAAUUGUAAUAAGUAAAUUACGCAAAAAACAGGAAAUUUCCCACAAAAAAUAGAAAAAAAAAAUGAAAAUAAGCAAAUUCAACAAAUACUAGCAAUACAAAAACACUAAAACCAAUACCAUUACGUAUAUAUAUAUCUGUAUGUACAUGUAAAGAACCAGCACCAAUAGGGCAGGCAGACACCAGUUGCAGUGCGGGGUUAAUUUCGAGGUGAAAGUUACAAAAAUGCUUAAAAUUUUGCAUUGCGUCGAGUGAGCAUCAAGGAAAGGUUGCACUGUCAUUUUCCAAACUACACUAUCAUACAAUUUACACACAACACCACUACUCCGCACCACAGGCCACCACAGCCUGCCGCUAACUGCAAGAACAUGCAUGCUUUGGUUGACUUCUUGUUUAAAAGCAUCUGUUGUUCUUGUUUUGUGUUUUGUUUUUGGUUUGGUGUGGGUGCUGUUUUCAACAGAUUUCUACUUGAAAUAGGUCUUUUUAAGCAAAUUAGCGUUAGAAUGGCGUUUUAAAACAACAACAUAUUUGUACACAACAACAACUACGCAAAAUGUAUAUGCUAGAGCAUAGUAUGUAGUUAGAGUUAGCAAUGCGAAAUCGCAAACGCGGGGAAAAUGUAGAUUUUCUUUUUUGUGCGUGUGGCAAGCGUCAGUGUUGCCCAGGUGUCUGAUUUGGCAUUGUAUGCAAGAUUUUGUUAUGUAAAAUUAAUGUUUAGGAGUUGGAAGCAAAAAAAAUUGUAAUUGUUUUGUGUUCUUAUUAAUAUUAAUAAUAUUAUUUUUUAAUUUUAAUUCAAAUGAAGCUGAACGCAAAAGAAAUGCUAAGUUUUCCUCAUAUGAUUGUCACUAUUUUUAUGUUGAUCCUUAUUUUGUAGUGUAUAAAAUCGCAAUCGCAAUUUUACCCAAAACCGCCAUACAUAUAUACAAACAACAAGAACAUGAAAAACAAUACAAAUUUACUAUGCAAAUUUUGGACGCUCAUUCAGCAGCAGCAACCAACCACAAGAGAAACCAAAAAGAAAAAAUGCAAUUUAUAUAUGUUUGUAUGUGUUGGCGUGCUGUUGUACGUUUUAAGCGCCUGCUUGCUCACUUAUCUUUAAGGCUUCACUCACCUCCAUCCCGUAAUCCAGCGCUAUUAAAGACAUGUAGUUAAAGUGUUUGCAAAUGCAACUAUUGUUUAGAAUAUCAUAUAAAAUUAUAUUUAAAAUAGGCACAGACU